RNAcentral lists this long non-coding RNA (429 nucleotides) under Setaria viridis. RNAcentral's name for it is "long non-coding RNA (SVIR_LNC005060)". The record is from RNAcentral. Lineage: Eukaryota; Viridiplantae; Streptophyta; Magnoliopsida; Poales; Poaceae.
GGAGGGAAGCAUAUCGAAAUCCCUACGGGUAGGGUAGCAUUCCAUGCAUGCGUAUUCUUUCGUGCAUGGAGUAGGGUAGGCCGAGGAGGAAGGUGGUAGAAGUGCUCCUACACUCGUAGAAAGAAAGAAAGGGUCGAUGAAGAAGAAGAGGAUGCAACGCGAGCAUGCAUGGAAAGUGAGGCCGGCUUUCAUGUUAAGUCAUGGCCCCCUCUUUGGAGGACAGCUUUGGCCAUGGGACGUUGCAUCAUCAUGCGGGGCCCCGGCGGCCAAUCAGGGAAUGUCUGUCAGCCAGCCCAAGGGUGGGUGUGGGUGGCCGGCCGGCGGGCCGAAAGGGAUCGGGGGGGUGUCCAUGGCGCCAGUGCCGCCUGUCUCCCCGUCCCGGCCGGCCAGCCGGGUGCCCGCCCGGGCAACGAGCGCGCGAGGAGGCUC